CAAGAACUAAAACAACAAUACCACUAAUGUUAUCAAUAAAACUAAAAUUCAGCCCCUACGCUCAAAUUCCUUUAAUCUCAAUGUCAAUUCCACCUUUCGAUCUUCAAAUCUGGUGAAGCAAGGUUCCAAAACCUGUGUACUAAGAUGGAGAAUUACCCUCAGGUCCAAAAUCCAGCUUCCUCCAAAGAUUGCAUUAUGAAAAUCCACAAAACUCAAAUUUCAGUUUCAAUACUGCAGCAGUCCAGAAAAACAGCAAUUAACCAAACUAACCUGAAUCAAAUUAUGCCAAAAU
RNAcentral lists this long non-coding RNA (292 nucleotides) under Ananas comosus (pineapple). Its description in RNAcentral is "long non-coding RNA (ACOM_LNC013321)". The record is from RNAcentral. Lineage: Eukaryota; Viridiplantae; Streptophyta; Magnoliopsida; Poales; Bromeliaceae.